RNAcentral lists this ribosomal RNA (468 nucleotides) under uncultured bacterium. RNAcentral's name for it is "partial 16S ribosomal RNA". It matches the Rfam family "Bacterial small subunit ribosomal RNA", at positions 28 to 507 of the family's 1533-position model. The record is from RNAcentral.
GACGAACGCUGGCGGCGUGCUUAACACAUGCAAGUCGAACGGAAAGGCCCUGCUUUUGUGCGGUGCUCGAGUGGCGAACGGGUGAGUAACACGUGAGUAACCUGCCCUUGACUUUGGGAUAACUUCAGGAAACUGGGGCUAAUACCGGAUAGGAUCUCCUGCUGCAUGGUGGGGGUUGGAAAGUUUCGGCGGUUGGGGAUGGACUCGCGGCUUAUCAGCUUGGUGGUGGGGUAGUGGCUUACCAAGGCCUUGACGGGUAGCCGGCCUGAGAGGGUGACCGGACACAUUAGGACUGAGCUACGGCACAGACUCGUACGGGAGGCAGCAGUGGAGAAUAUUACACAAUGGGAGGGAGCCUGAUGCAGCAACGCCGCGUGCGGGAUGACAGCCUUCGGGUAGUGAACCGCAUUCGCCUGUGACGAAGCGUGAGUGACGGUAAUGGGUGAAGAAGCACCGGCUAACUACGUG